Molecule: ribosomal RNA, 877 nt
Filed under: uncultured Neocallimastigales
Lineage: Eukaryota; Fungi; Neocallimastigomycota; Neocallimastigomycetes; Neocallimastigales
Description: partial large subunit ribosomal RNA
Rfam family: Eukaryotic large subunit ribosomal RNA
Source: RNAcentral
CGCAUCUGUGCAUGCAGCAUAUCAAUAAGCGGAGGAAAAGAAACUAACAAGGAUUCCCUUAGUAACGGCGAGUGAAGCGGGAAGAGCUCAAAUUUGAAAUCUUCUAGGUUUUACCUUGACGAAUUGUAGUUUAAAGAAGUGUUUUCUGCUGAAGUUUUGGUAAAAGUUCUUUGGAAUAGGACAUCAUAGAGGGUGAGAAUCCCGUAUUUGACCAUUAUUUUCAGCUUUGUGAUACACUUUCAAAGAGUCGGAUUGUUUGGGAAUGCAGUCCAAAAUGGGUGGUAAAUUUCAUCUAAAGCUAAAUAUUGGCGAGAGACCGAUAGCGAGCAAGUACCGUGAGGGAAAGAUGAAAAGAACUUUGAAAAGAGAGUUAAACAGUACGUGAAAUUGUCAAAAGGGAAGCGUUUGACACCAGUGUUGUUUUCUCGAAAAUCAAUUAAAAAUGGCUCGAUUUUGUAUUGCUGAGACCUUAAAAGCUCACUGUACAUUUUUCGUGUCUUUUUUAAUGCACUUUUCGUUUAACAAGUCAACAUCAGUUUCUUUUGUUGUAAAAGGGUCAUUGGAAGGUGGCUUUCUUUUCGGAGAAAGUGUUUAUAGCCUUUGGCCUCUGCAAUCGGAAGAGACUGAGGUCUGCAGCGUAGACUCUUCGGGGUUAGAUACAUUUGUGCUAAGUUAUAGCUUUUUAUAGACAACUUGUUGACUAUAAUUAGUCUUGUAGCUUACUCGCUUAUGCUAUUUUACCUACGCUUAGGAUGUUGAUACCUACGCUUAGGAUGUUGACGAGACUGUCGAUCUCAUCUACAUGACUCUGUGCAUAUCAAUAAGCGGAGGAAAAGUCGAUACCUACGCUUAGGAUGUUGACGCAUGAGAUAUACGC